Molecule: ribosomal RNA, 376 nt
Filed under: uncultured bacterium
Lineage: Bacteria
Description: bacterial SSU rRNA
Rfam family: Bacterial small subunit ribosomal RNA
Source: RNAcentral
ACGGGUGAGUAAUGUAUCGGAACUUACCCUGUAGCGGGGGAUAACUACUCAAAAGAGUAGCUAAUACCGCAUACGCCCUACGGUGGAAAGGGGGGGAUCUCAAGACCUCUCACUAUUGGAGCGGCCGAUAUCGGAUUAGCUAGUUGGUGGGGUAAAGGCUCACCAAGGCGACGAUCCGUAGCUGGUUUGAGAGGACGACCAGCCACACUGGGACUGAGACACGACCCAGACUCCUACGGGAGGCGGCAGUGGGGAAUUUUGGACAAUGGGGGCAACCCUGAUCCACCCAUCCCGCGAGUGCAAUGAAGGCCUUCGGGUUGUAAAGCACUUUUGGCAGGAAAGAAAUCGCACGGGUUAAUACCUUGUGUGGAUGACG